RNAcentral lists this long non-coding RNA (9628 nucleotides) under Gossypium barbadense (sea-island cotton). Its description in RNAcentral is "long non-coding RNA (GBAR_LNC003592)". The record is from RNAcentral. Lineage: Eukaryota; Viridiplantae; Streptophyta; Magnoliopsida; Malvales; Malvaceae.
UAGCCGAAUGUGAAAAGAAAAAGACGAGUUUGGAAGCUUUGAAUAUUCGGCACCUUUGGAAGCUUAAUUCGGGUAUGUGUUUUACUCGGUUUUUGAUAAUUUUUACGUUUUUGAGAUCGUUGCUUCGAGUACUAGUAAACCCAUGCCUUAAUUUUUGGAUUUAAUGAAGAAUUUGAAAUUUUCCAUUGUUUAUUAUGUGAUGAAAUUGUUGUUUGAUGAUGAAUAAUAAAUCUUUGAUGUUUGAUUUUCAUGUUUAAUUAAGUGAUUUUUGAUAAAAAUGUGUGUUAAGGACUAAAUUUAGAAAUUUGUAAAUUGAGGGGUCAAAACGUGAAAUAAAUAAAAGAAAUGGGCUGCUAGAGACCUAAGAUAAAUUCGGCCUAACAUGGGUUUGAUGAAAUUUUGAGUAAUUUGUGUUAUUUUGAAAUAGGGACUAAAUUGUGAAAAUGUGAAAUGUUAGGGGAUAAAUGAAAAAUGCCCAGAUUAUGUGUCCUUUGAUAAAAUUUAAUGAAAUGUUGAAUAAGUGAGUUAAUUUUGAUAUUAAUUAGAUUGGCAAAAGUAGAAUUCGAAUUUGGAUCGGGGGGAAAUCAAAGUGGUCGAUUAGUCGUCUCGUUUCGAUUACUGUUGUUCGAGGUAAGUCUAUAAGCAAUAAACAUUUUAAAUUUUGAAUGUAUAUGAUCUUUAUAUGCUGAAUUUAAUUGUGUGAAUUUUUAUUAGUUAUAGCUGAAUGUAUAAAUGUUUAUGAGAUUUGGGAACAAGUUCGAUUCAAUUGAGAUAUGAUGUUUGAAAAGCUUAAUAUGAACAUUAAGAAAUAAUUAGGAUUUCCGAAAUUUGAAUUAUGUGUAAGACCGACUUUGUAUCAGUGAUAUUCGGGAUUUAUUGCCUAGCAGACUUUGUGCCGGUGUAUUAAAUCAGGCUUAUUGCCUAGCAAGCUUUGUGCCGGUGUAUUAUAUCAGGCUUAUUGCCUAGCAGGCUUUAUAUGCCUGUAACAGCCUAAUUUUCAGUGGUAUCGGGAAUAGAGAUUUGAGAUCACCAAAUCCGACGAGAGAGUUAAAAAUUUAAUAAAUUAAUACCUAUGAGUCAAAUGCGAAUAUAAAAGCAUUUUUGAAUUAGUGAAUUUGGUGAUUUAAAAGAAUUAAUUAGGUAAAUUGGGUCGAGAAUGAGGUAUUGAGACCUCGACUUCAUAAAUCGAGCCAUAAAUAUUUUUAGAAAUAUUUAUGGAGUGUUGGUGAGGUAGUAUUAAAAUUUAGUCAGAAAAUUUUGACGUUUGGGUGGUUAAUUAAAUAAAAAGGACUAAAUUGAAAAGGGUGUAAAAGUUGCUAGAAGGAUUAAAUAGCUCAAUUGUCAAAUGAGGAAGGACCUAAAGUGCAAAUAAUCCUAAAGGAGAUAUUUUUGGCGGCAAUAGCUGAGAAAAAUCAGGAAAUGGAUGAAAUAAGGGCAAAAUUGGAAAAUUGCCAAAAUUGGCUAAAUAAAAAUGGGAUUAAAUUGGAAUAUCUAGAAUUCUCUUCAUUUUCUCUUCAUAUUCAUCAGAUGAAAAACAGCCAUGGAGGAGGGUUCAAGCUGGUUUUUAUACUCUAGCUUCAUGUAAGUUUAAUUCUUGCUUUCUCCUUGAAAUUUUUAUGUUUUUGUGACUUUUACAACUAGGUCCACUUGUUGAAUUCAUUAGUUUUUGAUUCUAUGAAAGAAAUUGAAAGUUUCUAUGAAUAUGUUCUGGAAGUAUAUGAUGAUUUGGCAUGGAAUUAGAGCUUUAAAUUAUUUACAUGCUGAUUUUAUUGAAAGAAUUGAAUAGAAAGUGAAUGUUUGGGACCUAAUUAUAAAAGAGUUUGAAGUUAGAGUUCCAUAUGGAAAUUCUGAAUUUCAAUAGUUAUGAAAUAACUUAUAAUGUCUAUAAAAAGUAUUAAUUGAGAAAAUUAUCUUAAUUGAGGGGUUAAUUGAGCAAGGACUGAAUUGUAUGAAUUGUGAAAUUUGGGGCAAAAUGGAAAUCAACAUUUUGCACUAAGACUGUUUUAGACAGCAGCAGUAGUCUAACUUUGAAAAAUCACCAAAAAUUAUAUAAAUCUAAUUAGAGGAUGAAUAAAAUAUGAAAUUAAAUCUUAUUGAGUCUAGUUUCUUAUAAAAGAAAUUAUGUAAGCAAUGGAAUUGUAAAUCAUGAGAUACAAUAACUUUUGUGAGACAAGGUUAGAAUGAUUUCGAGUUCUCCUGUUCUGACUUUGGAAAAUCAUAAAAAAUUUGAUAAAAAUAAUCAUGGGCUUAAAUUUAUAUUUUUAGAAUCCUGAAUGAGUCUAUUUUCAAGAAAAAUAAACGAGGACAUCAUUAGAAUUCUAUACAAGAAGAUAAUUAAUUUUUAGUGAAGAAGGGUCAGAACUGUCAGACAGCAGAAUAGGGGAGACUUUAAUGAAUAAACUGUAUUAAUUGGCCCAACCAAAAAUUAUGAAAUUUUUAUGGUAAGAAGGUAUAUGAGUCUAGUUUGAGGGAAAAUUAUCGGAUCUUAAUUUGGAGUUCUUUAGCUCAAGAUAAAAAUAAUUUAGUGACUAUGACACAGAUGGACAGCUUGAAUAUUCACAUAAGUAGAUAGUGAAAAUUAUGGAUAAUGUUACCUACAAGUGUGUUGUUUAUACUAAGGAUGUGGAAUGGAGAGGAGGAGGAUGAAAAAUAUGUAUGAAUAUUCAGCUAGCAUGGCUAAUUUGUAUGUUUUAGGCUCAAGGACUAAAUUGAAUAAAAGUAAAACUUUAUGGGUAAUUUUGUAAAAAUGUCGAAAAUGACUAAAUUGAAGGGAAUGAAUUGUUUUAUUAUCUAAAUUAAUAAAUUGAAUGAAAUUAUCAAUUUAAGAUUGGGUGAAAUUUGGGAAUAUGGUAAAUUACCAAUAUGCCCCUAAAUCUUGGUAUUUCUGCAAUUUAGUUAGGUAGGUUCGUAUAUCCUGCAUGAGCAUGUAAAUAUGAAAAUUUAAGUAUUGUAUCGUAUUUUAUAUGAUAUUUUAAAUUAAAUAUAUGAAAAAAAUGUUACAUGAAACAUGAAAAUGAAUACUAAAUAAUAUAAAUUAAUUGAAAUUAUUCUGAAAAUCUCGGUAAUGCCUCGUAUCCUAUCCCAGUCUCAGGUACGGGUAUGGGGUAUUACAAUGCCGGUGUAUUAUAUCAGGCUUAUUGCCUACCAGGCUCUGUGCCGGUGUAUUAUACUAGGCUUUAUGCCUAGCAAAUUUUAUCUGAACAACGGUAAAAGUAAUCAAAUGUGUUAAAUGAGCUAAAGUGAUCAGGUAUGUGAAUGUGGUUUACUUAUUUGAAAUGAAGGUAAAUUGGCUGAAAGAUAUGUGAUAAAAAUGUUAUGUAAUGUUGUAACACCCCCUACCCGUAUUCGUCGCCGGAAUAGAGUACGAGGCAUUAUCGAGAAGCACGAAACACUUACAGAUAAUUUAAAUACAUUUUCAUAACAAUUUGUUUCGAUUUCAUGCUAUUUCAUAUUUAAGCUUUAUUCACCAAAGUAUUUGACAUAUCAUCUUUAUGCAAAUAGCACACAUGAGGUACAUAAUUCCAUAAUUAUGAAUGAAAACAUUUAUCAAACACAUCUCAUGUUUUUAUAUAUAUCAUAGUUUCAUAUUUCCAUGUAUCAAUUACCAUCACUUCCUCGUAUUUCAGACAAAUACGUGUAACAAUUCAUAAAUAUGCAAUUCAUUAACUCUUCCUACCAAUCACGAUUUAAAUUGUCAAAUCACUUAUUGAGCCCAAUUUCAAUGUUCACUAAAAUCUAUCAUAUAAAUUUGGAUGUACGUAUUCAUCAAUAAAUUCCAUGUACAGAUAUCAUCAUCUCAUUUUUCCACAUACAUUUACUUUCCACAUUUAUGAAUUUAAAUAGCAUAUACAAGACUUACCAAUGUAUUUCAAGUACGUUUUCAUGAUAUUUCAUUUCAAACUCAGAUUAUUUCAUACUAGAAGUUUUCUCAUUAACUCAUUUGGAAUACCAAUUCAUACGGAUAAUACACUCAAGGUGUAGAAAUAUUUACUCACAAAUGAACUCAUUCAUCAACUAAGUUUUAUGCUCAUGCCUUAUCAACUCGUAUUUCCUUAUGUCACAUAAUUCCAUGUAAUACUUACCAAACUUCUUCAAAUUAGUGAACAUCUUAUGGAGUUGAGUACUUCAUUUUCUCGAUGCCAUAGUUCAACUAUGGUCUUACACAUCUUCACAUAAUGAUGCCAUAGCCCAGCUAUGGUCUUACACAUAUUCAUAUAUCGAUGCCCCUAGCUAUGGUCUUACACGUAAUCACAUAUCACAUAUCGAUGCCAUAGCCCAGCUAUGGUCUUACACGAAUCACAUAUCUCACUGAUGCCAAAUUCCAGAUAUGGUCUCAUACAGUAGCAUAUAUCACACCAAUGCCAUAUCCCAGAUAUGGUCUUAUACGGAAAUCACUUGUCACUUGUCACUUGUAGCCGAAGCUACCACUAUUCACUGAUCAGGUAGCCAGAGCUACCAUUUUUCACUGAUCAGGUAGCCGGAGCUACCACUUUUCACUGAUCAGGUAGCAGAAGCUACCACUUUUCACUGAUCAGGUAGCCGAAGCUACCACUUUUCAGUUGUCAUUUGUCAUUGAUCAGAUAAGUGUAGCCGCAGCUAUCACUUAUCACUUAUCACUUUCACUUGUCCUUGAUCAGAUAAGUGUAGCCGAAGCUAUCACUUAUCACUUGUUGCCAUGGUCCAACCAUGGUCUUUUCCUUUAAUUCAUCUUGUCACUGAACUGAAAUGCUCAAUUUGAUCAUUUAUUCAAUUUUCAUGCUUUUAUAUUAUUCACGAUUUUAUCAUCAAUACAUAUGAAAUAACACAUCAUGAAAUUCAUAAAAUUAACAAAUAAUCACUAAAAUUUAGCCAUAUAAACUCACAAGUUCAAUUUUUGUAUUAUAACGAUAAUCAUAAUUUCAUAAUAAAUAUUCCAAAUAAAACAUUAUAUCAUUUCUAAUCCAACACUUAUCGAUUAUAAUCGGGCAUGUGAUCAAUUUAUACACGAGUCAUUCAUAUAUAUGUAUAUUUUUCCACCUCCUCCUCUCCAUCCACAUCCUUAGUAUAAACAACACACUUGUAGGUAAGAUUAUCCAUAAUUUUCAUUAUCUAGUUAUGUGAAUAUUCAAGCUGUCCAUCUGUGUCAUAGUCACUAAAUUAUUUUUAUCUUGAGCUACAGAACUCAAAAUUAAGAUCCAUAAAUUUUCCCAGAAACUAGACUCAUAUGUCUUCUUACCAUAAAAAUUUCAUAAUUUUUGGUUGGGCCAAUUAAUACAGUUUAUUCAUUGAAGUCUCCCCUGUUCUGCCGUCUGACAGUUCCGACCCUUCUUCACUAAAAAUUAAUUAUCUUCUCGUAUAAGAUUCGAAUGUCCUCGUUUGUUUCUAUUGAAAAUAGACUCAUUCAAGAUUCUAAACAUAUAAAUUUAAGCCUCUAAUUAUUUUUAUCCAAUUUUUUAUGAUUUUCUAAAUUUAGAACAGGGGAACCCGAAAUCAUUUUGACCUUGUCUCACAAAAGUUAUUGUUUCUCAUGAUUUACAAUUCCAUUGCUUACAUAAUUUCUUUUAUAAGAAACUAGACUCAAUAAGCUUUAAUUUCAUAUUUUAUUCAUCCUCUAAUUAAAUUUAUAAAAUUUUUGGUAAUUUUUCAAAGUUAAACUACUGCUGCUGCCCAAAACAGUUUUAGUGCAAAAUGUUGAUUUCUAUUAUGCCCCAAAUUUCACAAUUCACACAAUUCAGUCCUUACUCAAUUAACCCCUCAAUUAAGAUAAUUUUCUAAAUUAAUACUUUUACUAGACAUUAUAAGUUAUUUCAUAACUAUUUAAAUUCAUAAUUUCCAUAUAAAACUCUAACUUCAAACUCUUUUACAAUUAGGUCUCAAACAUUCACUUUCUAUUCAAUUCUUUCAAUAAAAUCAGUAUAUAAACAAUUUAAAGCUCUAAUUCCAUGCUAAAUCAUCACAUAAUUCUAGCACAUAUUCAUAUCAACUUUCAAUUUCUUUCGUAGAAUCAAAAACUAAUGAAUUCAACAAGUGGACCUAGUUGUAAAAGUCAUAAAAACACAAAAAUUUCAAGAAAUAAUCAAGAAUUGAACUUAAUUGAAGUAAAAAUAUGAAAAAAAAGCUUAAGGGAACUCUUCCAUGGCGUUUUUUCUGAUGAUAAUGCAGAAAAAUAAAGAGAAAUCUAGAUAAUUCCACUUUAGUCCUAGCUUUAUUAAGUAAAUUUUGCAAAUUUUCCAAUUUUUCCCUUAAUUCUCCUUAUUUUCUUGCUGAUUUCAUGCCCAUGCCGUCCAACCCAAAUAGAACUUGGGUCUAUUUUCCUUUUAAACCCUCUUUCUUUUAUCAUUUAAGUUAUUUAAUCAUUUCCCACAAUUUUACAUUUGAUACAAUUUAGUCCUUUUUGUUCAAUUAACUAUCAGAACUUUAAAAUUUCUUGACGAAACUUUAAUACUAACUUAUUAACACUCUAUAAAUAUUUAUAAAAAUAUUUAUGGCUCGAUUUUAAAUUUCUGAGGUCUCGAUACCUCGUUUUCGAUUCCAAUUAUUUUAGUAUUUAUUUUUAGUACACUAUUCACUAUUUCAAAAUUUUUCCUAACUUCACGUUUAAAUUAUACUCACUAAAUUAAUAAUAUUUCCUACUCAUUUUUCGAAUUUAGUGAUCUCGAAUAAUUGUUUCGACACCACUGAAAAUUAGGCUGUUACAAAUGUUAUUUUCUGACGCAUGAAAAAUCGAUUUAAAAGGCUCAGGUAUGUAUUCAUACUAAAUUAUGAAAUUAUGGCAAGUGGAAUGUUCGAAUUAAUGAUAUAAAUGUUACAUGUUAAUGUGAAUUAUUUGUAUGCAUAUGUGAAAGUAUACAUUCGGUUUACUUAUGUAUUCAUGACAUAAAUGAGAGUAUAUAUGUAUAGGAAAAUCUAUAAUUGGCCAAAUGAAAAGUAUAGGUGAUUUUGUAAAUGAAAUGUAUAUGUUUUCAUAUUUGGCAAUUGUAAAAUAUAUAUUCGACCACAUAUUAUGUAUAUAUAUGUGUUAUUAUGGUUUGCUUUAUGAAGAUAUGUAUAUAAGAGUUUAAAUAUUCGGUUAUAUAUACAUUGAUAAUAUGGCUUUGAAGGGGUAUGUUAUUUUGAUAAUAGAUACAUGUAUAUUCGAUCAAGGUAAAAUUGUACAUGGAAGUAUAUGUUAUAUAUGAAAUUGUGAGCUUGAAAAUAAAUGUGAUCAUGAUAGUAUAAAUUAGUUUGAUUAAACUAAGUUGAUAUUAAUAUUGAGUUAUUUAUUUGCUUAUGACUUACUAAGCUCUUGAAGUUUACUCUGUGUGUUUUUCCUAUGUCUUUAGAGUUUCAGUGAAUUGCUCGAGUUGGAAGUUGUUGGAGACGUCAUCACACUAUCCGGUUAUCAUUUUGGUAACUAAUGCUUUGAGAUUUGGUUAUGUGGCAUGUAUAGGCUUGUUUUGAUAUAUUGGGUUUUGAAGUUUGUAAUGACCCAAAAUUCACGGGCACAGGAAAAGUGAGUUAUAGGGCUUCCGUAUUAGUGAAAUAAGUUCAAAAAUACUUAUUAGAAAUAUUUAUGAGUUUAGUAGCGUGUCUAAUUAGGCUUUAAUUAAGUGAAUUUAGCUUAAUUUAGAGAAAUUAGUAAAAAGAACUAAAUUGAAUAAGAGGUAAAAGUUUAAUUCUAAAGUAAUAGAAAAUAAAAAGGAUUAAAAAUGGUAAUUAAACCAUUUACAAAAGAUUAGGCGCCAUAUGCAUUAAAAAAAAUCUAAGAUUUUAUUAUUAUUAAUUAUUAGUAUGGUUUUAUAUUAAAUUAUUAUUAUAUUAAAUUAAAGAUAUUUAUUAAUUAAAUAAUUAAUUUAUGAUAUUUUUAUUUGACAAAUAAAUUGAAUAAUGACAAUUGUAAUAAAAAUAUUGGUACAUUUGUAAUAAAUAGAUACAUGUACACUUGAAAUAAAAUAAUUAAGUUACUUAAUAUUAAAGUAAAACAUAUUUGUUAAUUAAAUAAUUAAAUUAUUAAAUACUUGUGUGAAAAAAAAAAAUAGUGGCAAAUGUAUGGUAUUGAUGGUGUACACUUGUGUAUAUAAUUAAAUGCUUAAUAGAUAUUUAAAAUAAAUAUAAUAUAAUAUAUGUUAAUUAAGUAAAUAAAAGAAUAAGAGAAUGAAAUAAAAAGAAACAAAGAAAAGAAAGAACAGAGACAUUCGAAACAGAGCAGGAAGAAAAGGGGAAAGAAAAGAAAAAGGAAAAACUAAGAGUUUAAGGUUUAAAGCUUUGAUUGGUAAGUCAUUUAAGUCCUUUCUAUUUAAUUUUGAUGUUUUAGAAGUCUUAAAACAAUGUUUUGAUGAAAUUAAUUUGAUAGUUUGGAAGUUUAAAAGCUUUUAAACAAAGUUCAUGUUGAAGAAAAAGAAGAAUUAGGGAUUUAAUUGAAUGAAUUUUAAGUUAGAAAUUGAAAAAGGGAUUAAAUUGUAAAAGAAGCUAUAAGUUUUGUGUUUUAGGAAAUUAAAUUGAAAGAAAUUUUAAAUUAGGGUUUUAUAAUGAAUAGUAGAUUGUUAGGGUGAACAUGGAAGGAAAUUGAGUAGAAAUGAAGUAUAAAUUAAGUUAAACAAAUAAAAGAGUUAAUUAGGAUUAAAUGAGAAUUAGGGAAUAAAUUGAAUAAAAAUUCAAUUAAUUAUUAAAUUAAUGCUGUAAUUAAUAAUGUAAAUUGUUAUUAUUAUUUUUUUCGUAGCUAAAAAGGAAAAUGAGGCAUCGGCAUCCAAAGGAAAACAAAAGAUCGUUGAGGAGUAAACUCGUAUUCCGGGUUUGUAUUACUAUAACUCAAACUAUUUAUUAAAUGUAUAUUGAAUUUAUAGAUAUGGAAUAAUUAAGAUAAGGUAACUAUUAUAUUUAAAUUUAAAUAUAAGUAUGUGUGAAAAUUAAUUUGUAUAUGAAUUAAGAUAAUAGAUAUUUGAAUUGAUUGAGUAUUGAAAAUUUUUGUGUAAAUGAAAUUGAAAUUAGAAAAGUAAAAUAAUACCCUAUUAACUUGUCGGACUAGAUUUGAUACAAAUGGCAUACCAUUGGAUUUGUGAUGUGAUGAGGAGAUUGUAGUUCGGCCGAGAAGAUGUUUCUGUUAUUAUAUACUUCGGUUUAUCCGAAGAGGCAUUUAAUGCCUUACUGGUGUGUUAUGGAGGAUUUAUAAUAUUCCGGGUGUGUUUGGGUUCAAUAUUCUGGUGUGUUUGGGUGGAAUCCGCGUAUCUGUCAAAGUCCGAGCCUUGUUAAUAGGGUAAAUAAUUGAAAUGAAAUUUUGAAAAUUAGAUUAUUUGUUUUGGUACUAUUGAAAAGUAUGAGAAAGAAUGUAUGAACUAAAUUAUGAAUUGAGUUGGUAUGAAAAAAAAAAAUGAAUUAUAAAUUUAAGAUUUAUGAAGUAAUAUAAUUAUAUAUAUAAUUAGUUUAAAUAAAUAAUAAAUUUAUGGUUGAUGUUUGUAAUUUAUUAAUAAUAGUCUUGAUUUAUAGUAAUUUCACUGAGUUUGAAAUACUCAGCGUACGGUUAUUUCCGUGCGCAGGUCAUUAGAGUUUCGGAUCCAGUCUAGCAUCCAAAACAAACUCGACUCCAACAAAAUGAUUUUGGUGAUGUAUUUCUUCCUUUGUUAAUUGGCAUGUACUAGGUAACUGCAUAUAAAUUAUGUGUAUACAUUAAGUU